Molecule: transfer RNA, 72 nt
Filed under: bacterium
Lineage: Bacteria
Description: tRNA-Glu
Rfam family: tRNA
About the family: Transfer RNA (tRNA) molecules are approximately 80 nucleotides in length. Their secondary structure includes four short double-helical elements and three loops (D, anti-codon, and T loops).
Source: RNAcentral
GGCUUCAUCGUCUAACGGUUAGGACAUCGGGUUUUCAUCCCGGAAAUCGGAGUUCGAUUCUCCGUGGAGCUA